UUAUACCAUAGCUUUUGUUGAAACCCCCGGCAAUAACUUCACGAGACGAAGUCGAGUGAGGUUGCCGAGGGGUUUGAACAAAGCUAUGGUAUAAUUUACGA
This 101-nucleotide small RNA is filed under the name Mytilus galloprovincialis (Mediterranean mussel). The record is from RNAcentral. Lineage: Eukaryota; Metazoa; Mollusca; Bivalvia; Mytilida; Mytilidae.